Molecule: microRNA precursor, 148 nt
Filed under: Triticum aestivum (bread wheat)
Lineage: Eukaryota; Viridiplantae; Streptophyta; Magnoliopsida; Poales; Poaceae
Description: MIR2118 microRNA precursor family
Rfam family: MIR2118 microRNA precursor family
Source: Rfam by way of RNAcentral
GUGAGCUAGGAAGAGGGAGAAAUACUCUAAGAGCGGUGAGAAUGGGAACACGGAGGAAACCCUGACCAGAGGUGGAUAUCUGCCUCAGUGUUUCCCCUUGCCUCCCAUUCCUAUUGUUCUUAGGUUCUCCUUCCCCUUCCUUUUACCU